GGAAUAUUGGACAAUGGUCGAAAGCCUGAUCCAGCCAUGCCGCGUGUGUGAAGAAGGUCUUCGGAUUGUAAAGCACGUUAAGUUGGGAGGAAGGGCAGCAAGCUAAUAACUUGCUGUUUUGACGUUACCGACAGAAUAAGCACCGGCUAACUCUGUGCCAGCAGCCGCGGUAAUACAGAGGGUGCAAGCGUUAAUCGGAAUUACUGGGCGUAAAGCGCGCGUAGGUGGUUCGUUAAGUUGGAUGUGAAAGCCCCGGGCUCAACCUGGGAACUGCAUCCAAAACUGGCGAGCUAGAGUACGGUAGAGGGUGGUGGAAUUUCCUGUGUAGCGGUGUAAUGCGUAGAUAUAGGAAGGAACACCAGUGGCGAAGGCGACCACCCGGACUGAUACUGACACUGAGGUGCGAAAGCGUGGGGAGCAA
This 421-nucleotide ribosomal RNA is filed under the name uncultured bacterium. Its description in RNAcentral is "bacterial SSU rRNA". It matches the Rfam family "Bacterial small subunit ribosomal RNA", at positions 358 to 771 of the family's 1533-position model. The record is from RNAcentral.